GGUGCGUGCCUCCUGGCGGUCAAUGAUCGUCUGGCGACUGUCCCGCAGGCGGUGGUUACCACGGUGAGCAACAACAUUGCAGACGUCGACGCAUUCGUUGACACCAUGAUCGACCAAAUUUACUACAUCACCAGAGAUGACUUGACAUUCACGAAAGAUCUUCUGUUUUCGGAUUUAGAUAAUAUUGAAGCUCAGCUCGGAGUGCCUAUGAAGACAGCAAUAGAGUCGGAACUUGGGCUAGAGCAUGCACUAAACGCCGUCACAAGCUUGG
Long non-coding RNA from Priapulus caudatus, 271 nucleotides. RefSeq lists it as uncharacterized. The record is from RefSeq and is a predicted model, not a curated record. Lineage: Eukaryota; Metazoa; Priapulida; Priapulimorpha; Priapulimorphida; Priapulidae. The transcript has 3 exons.